This 397-nucleotide ribosomal RNA is filed under the name uncultured bacterium. RNAcentral describes it as "partial 16S ribosomal RNA". It matches the Rfam family "Bacterial small subunit ribosomal RNA", at positions 523 to 918 of the family's 1533-position model. The record is from RNAcentral.
AUACGAAGGCGACAAGCGGUAUCCGGAUUUACUGGGCGUAAAGGGCGCGUAGGCGGCCUUGCAAGUCAGAAGUGAAAUUCCUGAGCUCAACUCGGGCGCUGCUGCUGAAACUGCAGGACUUGAGUGCUGGAGGGGCUAGCGGAAUUCAGAGGGGAGCGGUAAAAUGCGUAGAUAUUAGGAAGACCACCGGUGGCGAAGGCGGGUAUCAGGGCAGUAACUGGCGAUGGGGGGAAAAAGCGGGAGGAGCAAACAGGAUAAGAUCCCCUGGUAGCCCCCGCCGUAAACGAUGAAUACGAGAUGUAGGGGGUAACGGCUCCCUCUGUGCCGCAGUUAACACAAUAAGUAUUCCGCCUGGGGAGUGCGGCCGCAAGGUUGAAACUCAAAGGAAUUGACGGGG